UGGGGAAUAUUGGACAAUGGGCGAAAGCCUGAUCCAGCCAUGCCGCGUGUGUGAAGAAGGUCUUCGGAUUGUAAAGCACUUUAAGUUGGGAGGAAGGGCAGUAAGCGAAUACCUUGCUGCUUUGACGUUACCGACAGAAUAAGCACCGGCUAACUCUGUGCCAGCAGCCGCGGUAAUACAGAGGGUGCAAGCGUUAAUCGGAAUUACUGGGCGUAAAGCGCGCGUAGGUGGUUCGUUAAGUUGAAUGUGAAAGCCCCGGGCUCAACCUGGGAACUGCAUCCCAAACUGGCGAGCUAGAGUAGGGCAGAGGGUGGUGGAAUUUCCUGUGUAGCGGUGAAAUGCGUAGAUAUAGGAAGGAACACCAGUGGCGAAGGCGACCACCUGGGCUCAUACUGACACUGAGGUGCGAAAGCGUGGGGAGCAAACAGG
This 429-nucleotide ribosomal RNA is filed under the name Pseudomonadota bacterium. Its description in RNAcentral is "Proteobacteria bacterium partial 16S ribosomal RNA". It matches the Rfam family "Bacterial small subunit ribosomal RNA", at positions 355 to 776 of the family's 1533-position model. The record is from RNAcentral. Lineage: Bacteria; Pseudomonadati; Pseudomonadota.